RNAcentral lists this unclassified non-coding RNA (520 nucleotides) under uncultured Lactarius. RNAcentral's name for it is "sequence contains ITS1, 5.8S rRNA gene and ITS2". The stretch from base 73 to 226 matches the Rfam family "5.8S ribosomal RNA". The record is from RNAcentral. Lineage: Eukaryota; Fungi; Basidiomycota; Agaricomycetes; Russulales; Russulaceae.
CUUAGGGGACUCGCGUUUUCACACAACACCCUUUUAAAAAGUGUAGAAUGACCUCAUUUAUGCGAUCAAUACAACUUUCAACAACGGAUCUCUUGGCUCUCGCAUCGAUGAAGAACGCAGCGAAAUGCGAUACGUAAUGUGAAUUGCAGAAUUCAGUGAAUCAUCGAAUCUUUGAACGCACCUUGCGCCCCUUGGUAUUCCGAGGGGCACACCCGUUUGAGCGUCGUGAAAUUCUCAACCUCCUCGGUUUCUUCUGGAGACUGAAGGAGGCUUGGACUCGUGUCUCGCCAGCUCCUCUUAAAUGAAUUAGCGUGGUCCUCUUUGCCGAACCUCGACACGUGAUAAGAUGCUUCCGUGUCUCGGUUUCUGGCUCUGUUGCUUUUGGGACCCGCUUCUAACCGUCUGGACCUUGCGUCGAGACAAUGUUCGAGCUCGUAUCCCUUCUUGGGAAACCCCCUCGACCCCACGAACCCUUGGCCUCAAAUCGGGUGAGACUACCCGCUGAACUUAAGCAUAUCAA